UAGGGAAUCUUCGGCAAUGGGGGCAACCCUGACCGAGCAACGCCGCGUGAGUGAAGAAGGUUUUCGGAUCGUAAAGCUCUGUUGUAAGUCAAGAACGGGUGUUAGAGUGGAAAGUUCACACUGUGACGGUAGCUUACCGGAAAGGGACGGCUAACUACGUGCCAGCAGCCGCGGUAAUACGUAGGUCCCGAGCGUUGUCCGGAUUUAUUGGGCGUAAAGCGAGCGCAGGCGGUUUGAUAAGUCUGAAGUUAAAGGCUGUGGCUCAACCAUAGUUCGCUUUGGAAACUGUCAAACUUGAGUGCAGAAGGGGAGAGUGGAAUUCCAUGUGUAGCGGUGAAAUGCGUAGAUAUAUGGAGGAACACCGGUGGCGAAAGCGGCUCUCUGGUCUGUAACUGACGCUGAGGCUCGAAAGCGUGGGGAGCGAACAGG
RNAcentral lists this ribosomal RNA (429 nucleotides) under bacterium. Its description in RNAcentral is "partial 16S ribosomal RNA". It matches the Rfam family "Bacterial small subunit ribosomal RNA", at positions 355 to 776 of the family's 1533-position model. The record is from RNAcentral.